Molecule: small nuclear RNA, 188 nt
Organism: Sphaeramia orbicularis (orbiculate cardinalfish)
Lineage: Eukaryota; Metazoa; Chordata; Actinopteri; Kurtiformes; Apogonidae
Gene: U2
Rfam family: U2 spliceosomal RNA
About the family: U2 is a small nuclear RNA (snRNA) component of the spliceosome (involved in pre-mRNA splicing). Complementary binding between U2 snRNA (in an area lying towards the 5' end but 3' to hairpin I) and the branchpoint sequence (BPS) of the intron results the bulging out of an unpaired adenosine, on the BPS, which initiates a nucleophilic attack at the intronic 5' splice site, thus starting the first of two transesterification reactions that mediate splicing.
Source: Ensembl
AUCACAUCUCUGCCUUUUGGCUGUGAUUAAGUGUAGUAUCUGUUCUCAUCAGUUUAGUAUCUGAUACGUUUCCUACCUGGGGACCAUUUAUUAAACUGAUUUUUGAAACAGGGAGAUGAAAUAAGUGUGUACUCCAUCCAAUCCAUGCAUUGACCUGGGAUUACAGCCCCUCUUACACUGCUGAUGAA